RNAcentral lists this ribosomal RNA (478 nucleotides) under Salmonella enterica. RNAcentral's name for it is "bacterial SSU rRNA". It matches the Rfam family "Bacterial small subunit ribosomal RNA", at positions 627 to 1104 of the family's 1533-position model. The record is from RNAcentral. Lineage: Bacteria; Pseudomonadati; Pseudomonadota; Gammaproteobacteria; Enterobacterales; Enterobacteriaceae.
UCGAAACUGGCAGGCUUGAGUCUUGUAGAGGGGGGUAGAAUUCCAGGUGUAGCGGUGAAAUGCGUAGAGAUCUGGAGGAAUACCGGUGGCGAAGGCGGCCCCCUGGACAAAGACUGACGCUCAGGUGCGAAAGCGUGGGGAGCAAACAGGAUUAGAUACCCUGGUAGUCCACGCCGUAAACGAUGUCUACUUGGAGGUUGUGCCCUUGAGGCGUGGCUUCCGGAGCUAACGCGUUAAGUAGACCGCCUGGGGAGUACGGCCGCAAGGUUAAAACUCAAAUGAAUUGACGGGGGCCCGCACAAGCGGUGGAGCAUGUGGUUUAAUUCGAUGCAACGCGAAGAACCUUACCUGGUCUUGACAUCCACAGAAGAAUCCAGAGAUGGAUUUGUGCCUUCGGGAACUGUGAGACAGGUGCUGCAUGGCUGUCGUCAGCUCGUGUUGUGAAAUGUUGGGUUAAGUCCCGCAACGAGCGCAACCC